RNAcentral lists this long non-coding RNA (560 nucleotides) under Theobroma cacao (cacao). RNAcentral's name for it is "long non-coding RNA (TCAC_LNC004596)". Lineage: Eukaryota; Viridiplantae; Streptophyta; Magnoliopsida; Malvales; Malvaceae. The record is from RNAcentral.
UAGUGUUAGAGCUCACUUCACGUCGAACCCCCACGUGAAUGUGUAACUCGGCCAACGCCAAGGAACGACUUGUUUUAAAAAUAAAAAUGUGUUUCACAUGUAUAUAUCUUAACAACCUUGGUGGACUCGGUUAGAUGCCUCGGCCAAGGUAUCCCUGAGGAUUUGUUUUUGGCUUGAGCCUUGUUUUUAAUAAAAGUCAUAAGCCUUAACAAUUGUUUUGGUAAAUUACAAAUAUUUUAUGGUUUAAGAAAUAAAUUGAAAACCUUAUGAAAUGGUUUGUAAUUUGUUGUUUAAACUUGCCUCCAUUUUACUUGCCUUUAGAUAUUUAUGAUAAUGUCUGUUUACUCAUUUGGAUUGCGAAAUCUCACCCACCUCUUUUCUAAAUAUUUCAGGCCUGUGGUAGCUUGUAGAUGCCGAUUUUGUCGAGGAUUUUAGUUGACCCCUCUAUCUCACAGACAGUAGGUUACUAUCACCAACAUCUGGUGUAUUUAGGGGCCACUUGUCAUUGUAAUUAUUAUUGUACAUUAUAACUUUAUAAAUUAUUGUAUGUAUGAAUUUAU